This 730-nucleotide ribosomal RNA is filed under the name uncultured eukaryote. Its description in RNAcentral is "SSU rRNA". It matches the Rfam family "Eukaryotic small subunit ribosomal RNA", at positions 670 to 1426 of the family's 1831-position model. The record is from RNAcentral.
CGCUAGUACUGGUCCGGCCGGGCCUUUCCUUCUGGAGAGCCCCAUGCCCUUCACUGGGCGUGCGGGGGAACCAAGACUUUUACUUUGAAAAAAUUAGAGUGUUCAAAGCAGGCCUUUGCUCGAAUACGUUAGCAUGGAAUAAUAGAAUAGGACGUGCGAUCCUAUUUUGUUGGUUUCUAGGACCCCCAUAAUGAUUUAUAGGCACAGUCGGGGGCAUCAGUAUUCUUUUGUCAGAGGUGAAAUUCUUGGAUUUAUUGAAGACUAACUACUGCGAAAGCAUUUGCCAAGGAUGUUUUCAUUAAUCAGUGAACGAAAGUUAGGGGAUCGAAGACGAUCAGAGACCGUGGUAGUCUUAACCGUAAACUAUGCCGACUAGGGAUCGGGCGAUGUUUUUAUCUUGACUCGCUCGGCACCCUACGAGAAAUCAAAGUUUUUGGGUUUUGGGGGGAGUAUGGCCGCAAGGCUGAAACUUAAAGAAAUUGACGGAAGGGCACCCCCAGGCGUGGAGCGCGCGGCUUAAUUUGACUCAACACGGGGAAACUCACCAGGUCCAGAUGAAAUAAGGAUUGACAGAUUGAGAGCUCUUUCAUGAUCUUUCAGGUGGUGGUGCAUGGCCGUUCUUAGUUGGUGGAGUGAUUUGUCUGCUUAAUUGCGAUAACGAACGAGACCUCAACCUCCUAAAUAGCCAGCCUAGCUUUGGCUGGUCGCCGCUUGUUAGAGGGACUAUCGG